Molecule: small nuclear RNA, 107 nt
Organism: Trichechus manatus latirostris (Florida manatee)
Lineage: Eukaryota; Metazoa; Chordata; Mammalia; Sirenia; Trichechidae
Source: RefSeq, a predicted model, not a curated record
GUGCUCACUUUGGCAGUACAUAUACUAAAAUUGGAACAAUACAGAGAUGAUUAGCACGGCCAGUGUGCAGGGAUGGCACACAAAUUCAUGAAGCAUUCCAUGUUUUU